AGCUCCAAUAGCGUAUAUUAAAGUUGUUGCAGUUAAAAAGCUCGUAGUUGGAUUUCUGGUUUGAGCGUCCGGUCGGCCUAGUGCCUGUACUAUGGAUGUUUGGGCCAUAUUUUGUGAGGAUGCCUUUCUGCCAUUGAGUUGGUGGUUGGGUGGACUUGCAUCGUUUACUGUGAAAAAAUUAGAGUGUUUAAAGCAGGCGUUUGCUCAUUUGAAUACAUUAGCAUGGAAUAAUAAGAUACGACCUUGGUGGUCUAUUUUGUUGGUUUGCACGCCAGGGUAAUGAUUAAUAGGGACAGUUGGGGGUAUUCAUAUUUCAACGUCAGAGGUGAAAUUCUUGGAUCGUUGAAAGAUGAGCUUAGGCGAAAGCAUUUACCAAGGAUGUUUUCA
This 387-nucleotide ribosomal RNA is filed under the name uncultured eukaryote. RNAcentral's name for it is "SSU rRNA". It matches the Rfam family "Eukaryotic small subunit ribosomal RNA", at positions 587 to 972 of the family's 1831-position model. The record is from RNAcentral.